AAAUCCGGUUCACUUUAACACUGAGGCGUGACGACGAGGCACUACGGUGCUGAAGCAACAAAUGCCCUGCUUCCAGGAAAAGCCUCUAAGCAUCAGGUAACAUCAAAUCGUACCCCAAACCGACACAGGUGGUCAGGUAGAGAAUACCAAGGCGCUUGAGAGAACUCGGGUGAAGGAACUAGGCAAAAUGGUGCCGUAACUUCGGGAGAAGGCACGCUGACACGUAGGUGAAGUGAUUUACUCAUGGAGCUGAAGUCAGUCGAAGAUACCAGCUGGCUGCAACUGUUUAUUAAAAACACAGCACUGUGCAAACACGAAAGUGGACGUAUACGGUGUGACGCCUGCCCGGUGCCGGAAGGUUAAUUGAUGGGGUCAGCGCAAGCGAAGCUCCUGAUCGAAGCCCCGGUAAACGGCGGCCGUAACUAUAACGGUCCUAAGGUAGCGAAAUUCCUUGUCGGGUAAGUUCCGACCUGCACGAAUGGCGUAAUGAUGGCCAGGCUGUCUCCACCCGAGACUCAGUGAAAUUGAACUCGCUGUGAAGAUGCAGUGUACCCGCGGCAAGACGGAAAGACCCCGUGAACCUUUACUAUAGCUUGACACUGAACAUUGAGCCUUGAUGUGUAGGAUAGGUGGGAGGCUUUGAAGUGUGGACGCCAGUCUGCAUGGAGCCGACCUUGAAAUACCACCCUUUAAUGUUUGAUGUUCUAACGUGGACCCGUUACCCGGGUUGCGGACAGUGUCUGGUGGGUAGUUUGACUGGGGCGGUCUCCUCCUAAAGAGUAACGGAGGAGCACGAAGGUUGGCUAAUCCUGGUCGGACAUCAGGAGGUUAGUGCAAUGGCAUAAGCCAGCUUGACUGCGAGCGUGACGGCGCGAGCAGGUGCGAAAGCAGGUCAUAGUGAUCCGGUGGUUCUGAAUGGAAGGGCCAUCGCUCAACGGAUAAAAGGUACUCCGGGGAUAACAGGCUGAUACCGCCCAAGAGUUCAUAUCGACGGCGGUGUUUGGCACCUCGAUGUCGGCUCAUCACAUCCUGGGGCUGAAGUAGGUCCCAAGGGUAUGGCUGUUCGCCAUUUAAAGUGGUACGCGAGCUGGGUUUAGAACGUCGUGAGACAGUUCGGUCCCUAUCUGCCGUGGGCGCUGGAGAACUGAGGGGGGCUGCUCCUAGUACGAGAGGACCGGAGUGGACGCAUCACUGGUGUUCGGGUUGUCAUGCCAAUGGCACUGCCCGGUAGCUAAAUGCGGAAGAGAUAAGUGCUGAAAGCAUCUAAGCACGAAACUUGCCCCGAGAUGAGUUCUCCCUGAGACUUAGAGUCUCCUGAAGGAACGUUGAAGACGACGACGUUGAU
This 1345-nucleotide ribosomal RNA is filed under the name Salmonella enterica subsp. enterica serovar Enteritidis. Its description in RNAcentral is "partial 23S ribosomal RNA". It matches the Rfam family "Bacterial large subunit ribosomal RNA", at positions 1538 to 2857 of the family's 2925-position model. The record is from RNAcentral. Lineage: Bacteria; Pseudomonadati; Pseudomonadota; Gammaproteobacteria; Enterobacterales; Enterobacteriaceae.